UAGUUUAAAAGUAUAUUUAUACGUUUGAUUUCCAAUCAAUUAAUAUUAAACUAA
This 54-nucleotide transfer RNA is filed under the name Philodina citrina. RNAcentral describes it as "transfer RNA-Gly". Lineage: Eukaryota; Metazoa; Rotifera; Eurotatoria; Philodinida; Philodinidae. The record is from RNAcentral.